CUUGAUUCAUCUUCCGAUCUCGUCAUCUGUUUGAUUGAUGCUGGUGAUAUUUCGGAGCUGGGUGACGUCGUGCUCGGGCAAAUCUCCACGAAAAGGCUGCGUGUCCCAAUGUUCCACGAGCUUCUAGAAACUCCGUCAAGUACGCUCGUCAGUAGCUGUACGGAAUGUUGACGUUUCUAUAUCAAUCCCGUUGUAAUAGGUCGACAAAAGACGUUUGCG
Molecule: long non-coding RNA, 219 nt
Organism: Daphnia carinata
Lineage: Eukaryota; Metazoa; Arthropoda; Branchiopoda; Diplostraca; Daphniidae
Exons: 3
Source: RefSeq, a predicted model, not a curated record